UCAGAAACUAUCAAACUAGAGAAUGACAGAGGCAACUAGAAUUCUGCAUGUAGGGGUAAAAUCCGUUGAUAUGCAGAGGAAUACCAAAGGCGAAGGCAGGUUGCUAGGUCAUUUCUGACGCUGUUGCACGAAAGCGUGGGGAGCAAACAGGAUUAGAUACCCUGGUAGUCCACGCCGUAAACCAUGGAUACUCGAUUUAAGAGGGACUCGACCCCCUCUUGAGUCCAAGCAAACGCGUUAAGUAUCCCGCCUGGGAAGUACGGUCGCAAGAUUAAAACUCAAAGGAAUAGACGGGGACCCACACAAGCGGUGGAGCAUGUGGUUCAAUUCGACGAUAAACGAGGAACCUUACCAAGGCUUGACAUCUCCGGAAUCCUCUGGAAACAGGGGAGUGCCGCAAGGAACCGGAUGACAGGUGCUGCAUGGUCGUCGUCAGCUCGUGCCUUGAGGUGUUCGGUUAAGUCCGUAAACGAGCGCAACCCAUGUCCUGUGUUGUAUUUCUCACAGGAGACUGCCGGCUCCAAGUCGGAGGAAGGUAUGGAUGACGUCAGAUCAGCAUGGCCCUUAUGCCUUGGGCCACACACGUGCUACAAUGGCCGGUACAAUGGGCAGCUAACCCGCAAGGGGGAGCAAAUCCCACCAAAGCCGGUCACAGUUCGGAUUGAGGGCUGCAAUUCGUCCUCAUGAAGUUGGAAUCGCUAGUAACCGUGAAUCAGCCAUGUCACGGUGAAUAUGUUCCUGGGUCUUGUACUCACCGCCCGUCACAUCAUGAAAGGUGGGGGUACCCG
This 788-nucleotide ribosomal RNA is filed under the name uncultured bacterium. Its description in RNAcentral is "bacterial SSU rRNA". It matches the Rfam family "Bacterial small subunit ribosomal RNA", at positions 626 to 1423 of the family's 1533-position model. The record is from RNAcentral.